Molecule: ribosomal RNA, 253 nt
Filed under: uncultured bacterium
Lineage: Bacteria
Description: partial 16S ribosomal RNA
Rfam family: Bacterial small subunit ribosomal RNA
Source: RNAcentral
UACAGAGGGUGCGAGCGUUAAUCGGAAUCACUGGGCGUAAAGCGACCGCAGGCGGUCUGACAAGUCGGAUGUGAAAGCCCUGGGCUCAACUCAGGAACUGCAUUCGAAACUGGCAGACUCGAGUACGGGAGAGGGGGGUGGAAUUCCUGGUGUAGGGGUGAAAUUCGUUGAUAUCAGGAGGAACACCGGCGGCGAAGGCGGCCCCCUGGCCCGCAACUGACGCUCAUGGUCGAAAGCGUGGGGAGCAAACAGG